This 497-nucleotide ribosomal RNA is filed under the name uncultured bacterium. RNAcentral's name for it is "partial 16S ribosomal RNA". It matches the Rfam family "Bacterial small subunit ribosomal RNA", at positions 28 to 507 of the family's 1533-position model. The record is from RNAcentral.
GAUGAACGCUGGCGGCGUGCCUAAUACAUGCAAGUCGAGCGAACAGACGAGGAGCUUGCUCCUCUGACGUUAGCGGCGGACGGGUGAGUAACACGUGGAUAACCUACCUAUAAGACUGGGAUAACUACGGGAAACCGGAGCUAAUACCGGAUAAUAUAUUGAACCGCAUGAUUCAAUAGUGAAAGACGGCUUUGCUGUCACUUAUAGAUGAAUCCGCGCCGCAUUAGCUAGUUGGUAAGGUAACGGCUUACCAAGGCGACGAUGCGUAGCCGACCUGAGAGGGUGAUCGGCCACACUGGAACUGAGACACGGUCCAGACUCCUACGGGAGGCAGCAGUAGGGAAUCUUGCGCAAUGGGCGAAAGCCUGACGGAGCCACGCCGCGUGAGUGAUGAAGGUCUUCGGAUCGUAAAACUCUGUUAUUAGGGAAGAACAAAUGUGUAAGUAAAUAUGCCCGUCUUGACGGUACCUAAUCAGAAAGCCACGGCUAACUACGUG